UAUUUUAUAUAAUGUGCAGAUGUAUAAUGUGCAGCAACCCAACAGGCACAAAAUGUACUUGGCAGCAACUGAAGAAUGAAAUAUGAAAAUAUACUUCAAAAAGUUACUGAUGGUGUAAUCUGUCUGGUGGCGCCUUCUGCCAUAGGACUUCCAUGCAGUUGAGGAUGAUGAAGAUGCCUUGUCAGCUGCCACAGAGAGGAGCAAUGCUGGAAAUUACAAUGAAGAGGGUCCAUCCACCUCCAAAGCACAACUUACAGCAUUAGCCCAUAAAUUACAAUGAAACUAAGUUGAACUUGCACUGUGAAAUUCAAUGUAAUUUAUACUUGCAGGAAAUAAAGACUUCAUAAAAAGGCAUAUUGUGUCUAUUUGACAUGGGGGAGGUGAUGGGUGAAUCAGAAAUGAUGGUAGCAUAUUGUCUCUGACUGCUCUUCCAU
This is a long non-coding RNA of Oncorhynchus kisutch (coho salmon), 434 nucleotides long. RefSeq lists it as uncharacterized. The transcript has 4 exons. NCBI's taxonomy places the organism in Eukaryota, Metazoa, Chordata, Actinopteri, Salmoniformes, Salmonidae. The record is from RefSeq and is a predicted model, not a curated record.